GACGAACGCUGGCGGCGUGCUUAACACAUGCAAGUCGAACGGAAAGGCCCUGCUUUUGUGGGGUGCUCGAGUGGCGAACGGGUGAUUAACACGUGAGUAACCUGCCCUUGACUUUGGGAUAACUUCAGGAAACUGGGGCUAAUACCGGAUAGGAGCUCCUGCUGCAUGGUGGGGUUUGGAAAGUUUCGGCGGUUGGGGAUGGACUCGCGGCUUAUCAGCUUGUUGGUGGGGUAGUGGCUUACCAAGGCUUUGACGGGUAGCCGGCCUGAGAGGGUGACCGGCCACAUUGGGACUGAGAUACGGCCCAGACUCCUACGGGAGGCAGCAGUGGGGAAUAUUGCACAAUGGGCGGAAGCCUGAUGCAGCAACGCCGCGUGCGGGAUGACGGCCUUCGGGUUGUAAACCGCUUUCGCCUGUGACGAAGCGUGAGUGACGGUAAUGGGUAAAGAAGCACCGGCUAACUACGUG
This 468-nucleotide ribosomal RNA is filed under the name uncultured bacterium. RNAcentral's name for it is "partial 16S ribosomal RNA". It matches the Rfam family "Bacterial small subunit ribosomal RNA", at positions 28 to 507 of the family's 1533-position model. The record is from RNAcentral.